This 1043-nucleotide ribosomal RNA is filed under the name Praeacanthonchus sp. M1. RNAcentral's name for it is "SSU rRNA". It matches the Rfam family "Eukaryotic small subunit ribosomal RNA", at positions 51 to 1103 of the family's 1831-position model. Lineage: Eukaryota; Metazoa; Nematoda; Chromadorea; Chromadorida; Cyatholaimidae. The record is from RNAcentral.
AUGCAUGUCUAAGCAUAAGCCGAUAAAUGGUGAAGCCGCGAAUAGCUCAUUACAACAGCCAUAGUUUAUUGGAUCUUCUCUCUACUUGGAUACCUGUGGUAAUUCUAGAGCUAAUACACGCACUAAAGCCCCGACUUCGGGAGGGGCGCAUUUAUUAGAGCAAAACCAAUCGGGCUAUGCCCGUCGUUUGGUGAAUCUGAAUAACUCAGUUGAUCGCACAGUCCUCGAACUGGUGAUGUAUCUUUCAAGUGUCUGCCUUAUCAACUUUCGAUGGUAGUUUACAUGACUACCAUGGUUGUAACGGGUAACGGAGAAUAAGGGUUCGACUCCGGAGAGGGAGCCUGAGAAACGGCUACCACAUCCAAGGAAGGCAGCAGGCGCGCAAAUUACCCACUCUCAGUACGAGGAGGUAGUGACGAAAAAUAACGAGACGGUUCUCUAUGAGGUCCGUCAUCGGAAUGGGUACAAUUUAAACCCUUUAACGAGGAUCUAUUGGAGGGCAAGUCUGGUGCCAGCAGCCGCGGUAAUUCCAGCUCCAAUAGCGUAUACUAAAGUUGUUGCGGUUAAAAAGCUCGUAGUUGGAUCUGCGGUCUCGCGUGCCGGUGAAUCCUCAGGAUUUUACUGGUUACGCAGGCCUACCUCGCUGGUUUUCCCUUGGUCCUCUUCACUGAGUGCCCUGGGUGACCAAGCAAGUUUACUUUGAAAAAAUUAGAGUGCUCAAAGCAGGUGUGUAGCCUGAAUAGUGGUGCAUGGAAUAAUGGAAUAGGACCCCGGUUCUAUUUUGUUGGUUUUCGGAACGCGAGGUAAUGAUUAAGAGGGACAGACGGGGGCAUUCGUAUUGCUGCGUUAGAGGUGAAAUUCUUGGAUCGCAGCAAGACGGACAACUGCGAAAGCAUUUGCCAAGAAUGUUUUCAUUAAUCAAGAACGAAAGUUAGAGGUUCGAAGGCGAUCAGAUACCGCCCUAGUUCUAACCGUAAACGAUGCCAACUAGCGAUCCACUGGCGUUAAUCAUGAUUCAGUGGGGAGCUUCCCGGAAACGAAAG